GAUGGCAUAGCUCAGUGGUAGAGUGUGGGCCUAGCAUGCACAAGGUCCUGGGUUCAAUCCCUGGUACCUCUA
Molecule: transfer RNA, 72 nt
Filed under: Camelus bactrianus (Bactrian camel)
Lineage: Eukaryota; Metazoa; Chordata; Mammalia; Artiodactyla; Camelidae
Also listed under: 2 other names
Rfam family: tRNA
About the family: Transfer RNA (tRNA) molecules are approximately 80 nucleotides in length. Their secondary structure includes four short double-helical elements and three loops (D, anti-codon, and T loops).
Source: Rfam by way of RNAcentral